CUUCUCCAUUUUUCUUGCCAAAAUCGUCUUUCUCCGGACUAAGAUCUCUUAGUGAAGAAAAAGAAAAAGAGAAAGCAAUAUUUUUUUGUUUUAGAUCUGUUGAUGUUGAUCAUGAGCAGGAAUUAAUUAAUGUAAUUAAGCCACACAUUUGUUUAUAAAAUUAUUUAUUUUUUCA
Long non-coding RNA from Mercurialis annua (annual mercury), 175 nucleotides. RefSeq lists it as uncharacterized. The transcript is spliced from 2 exons. NCBI's taxonomy places the organism in Eukaryota, Viridiplantae, Streptophyta, Magnoliopsida, Malpighiales, Euphorbiaceae. The record is from RefSeq and is a predicted model, not a curated record.